AGGUGAUAUGAAAAAAUGAUAUUC
Molecule: non-coding RNA, 24 nt
Filed under: Arabidopsis thaliana (thale cress)
Lineage: Eukaryota; Viridiplantae; Streptophyta; Magnoliopsida; Brassicales; Brassicaceae
Source: RNAcentral